GACAGAGGGGGCAAGCGUUGUCCGGAUUGACUGGGCGUACAGCGCGCGCAGGCGGCCGGGAAGGUGCCGUGUGACAGGCGCCGGCUUAACCGGCGACGGCCACGGUAGACCGUCCGGCUGGAGGCAGGGAGAGGGAUGUGGAAUACCCGGUGGAGCGGUGAAAUGCGUAGAGAUCGGGUGGAACACCAGCGGCGCAGGCGGCAUCCUGGCCCUGUACUGACGCUGAGGCGCGAGAGCGUGGGGAGCGAACUGG
RNAcentral lists this ribosomal RNA (253 nucleotides) under uncultured bacterium. RNAcentral describes it as "partial 16S ribosomal RNA". It matches the Rfam family "Bacterial small subunit ribosomal RNA", at positions 524 to 776 of the family's 1533-position model. The record is from RNAcentral.